This 406-nucleotide ribosomal RNA is filed under the name Clostridioides difficile. Its description in RNAcentral is "partial 23S ribosomal RNA". It matches the Rfam family "Bacterial large subunit ribosomal RNA", at positions 1 to 410 of the family's 2925-position model. The record is from RNAcentral. Lineage: Bacteria; Bacillati; Bacillota; Clostridia; Peptostreptococcales; Peptostreptococcaceae.
GGUCAAGUUAUUAAGGGUGCAGGGCGGAUGCCUUGGCACUAGGAGCCGAUGAAGGACGUGAUAAGCUGCGAUAAGCUUCGGGGAGUUGCACGUAAACUUUGAUCCGAAGAUUUCCGAAUGAGGAAACUCACUUAGAGUAAUGUCUAAGUAUCAUUAAGUGAAUACAUAGCUUAAUGAGGGGAACUCAGGGAACUGAAACAUCUAAGUACCUGAAGGAAGAGAAAGAAAUUCGAUUCCGUAAGUAGCGGCGAGCGAACGCGGAUUAGCCCAAACCAAUAAAGUUUUCUUUAUUGGGGUUGCGGACAUAUCAUAACGAAGAGGUAUCGUAAUUGAAGAGGUUUGGAAAGACCCACCACAGAAGGUAAUAGUCCUGUAUGUUAAACGAGAAGACUUCAGAUAUGAUCCA